RNAcentral lists this ribosomal RNA (200 nucleotides) under uncultured bacterium. Its description in RNAcentral is "partial 16S ribosomal RNA". It matches the Rfam family "Bacterial small subunit ribosomal RNA", at positions 29 to 256 of the family's 1533-position model. The record is from RNAcentral.
AGCGAACGCUGGCGGCGGGCCUAACACAUGCAAGUCGAACGAACUCUUCGGAGUUAGUGGCGGACGGGUGAGUAACACGUGGGAACGUGCCUUUUGGUUCGGAAUAACUCAGGGAAACUUGUGCUAAUACCGAAUGUGCCCUUCGGGGAAAGGAUUUAUCGCCAUUAGAGCGGCCCGCGUCUGAUUAGCUAGUUGGUGAG